UGAGGAAUAUUGGUCAAUGGGCGGAAGCCUGAACCAGCCAUGCCGCGUGAAGGAAGAAGGUCCUAUGGAUUUUAAACUUCUUUUGUCGGAGAGCAAUAAGGGUCUCGCGAGAUCCGAUGAGAGUAUCCGACGAAUAAGCAUCGGCUAACUCCGUGCCAGCAGCCGCGGUAAUACGGGGGAUGCGAGCGUUAUCCGGAUUUAUUGGGUUUAAAGGGAGCGUAGGCGGGCUGUUAAGUCAGCGGUCAAAUGUCAGGGCCCAACCUUGGCAUGCCGUUGAUACUGGCGGCCUUGAGUUCACACAAGGAAGGUGGAAUUCGUCGUGUAGCGGUGAAAUGCUUAGAUAUGACGAAGAACUCCGAUUGCGAAGGCAGCCUUCUGGGGUGUUACUGACGCUGAGGCUCGAAAGUGCGGGAAUCAAACAGGAUUAGAUACCCUGGUAGU
RNAcentral lists this ribosomal RNA (441 nucleotides) under uncultured Paraprevotella sp. RNAcentral describes it as "bacterial SSU rRNA". It matches the Rfam family "Bacterial small subunit ribosomal RNA", at positions 355 to 794 of the family's 1533-position model. Lineage: Bacteria; Pseudomonadati; Bacteroidota; Bacteroidia; Bacteroidales; Prevotellaceae. The record is from RNAcentral.